UUUGCGUCGAAGGUAUACCGGUAAGGAGUGCUGGAGCGAAUAGAAGUGAGCAUGCAGGCAUGAGUAGCGAUAAUUAAUGUGAGAAUCAUUAACGCCGUAAACCCAAGGUUUCCUACGCGAUGCUCGUCAUCGUAGGGUUAGUCGGGUCCUAAGUCGAGUCCGAAAGGGGUAGACGAUGGCAAAUUGGUUAAUAUUCCAAUACCAACAUUAGUGUGCGAUGGAAGGACGCUUAGGGCUAAGGGGGCUAGCGGAUGGAAGUGCUAGUCUAAGGUCGUAGGAGGUUAUACAGGCAAAUCCGUAUAACAAUACUCCGAGAACUGAAAGGCUUUUUGAAGUCUUCGGAUGGAUAGAAGAACCCCUGAUGCCGUCGAGCCAAGAAAAGUUUCUAAGUUUAGCUAAUGUUGCCCGUACCGUAAACCGACACAGGUGGGUGGGAUGAGUAUUCUAAGGCGCGUGGAAGAACUCUCUUUAAGGAACUCUGCAAAAUAGCACCGUAUCUUCGGUAUAAGGUGUGGUUAGCUUUGUAUUAGGAUUUACUCCGAAAGCAAGGAAACUUACAACAAAGAGUCCCUCCCGACUGUUUACCAAAAACACAGCACUCUGCUAACUCGUAAGAGGAUGUAUAGGGUGUGACGCCUGCCCGGUGCUCGAAGGUUAAUUGAUGGGGUUAGCAUUAGCGAAGCUCUUGAUCGAAGCCCGAGUAAACGGCGGCCGUAACUAUAACGGUCCUAAGGUAGCGAAAUUCCUUGUCGGUUAAAUACCGACCUGCAUGAAUGGCGUAACGAGAUGGGAGCUGUCUCAAAGAGGGAUCCAGUGAAAUUGUAGUGGAGGUGAAAAUUCCUCCUACCCGCGGCAAGACGGAAAGACCCCGUGGACCUUUACUACAGCUUGAUACUGCUACUUGGAUAAGAAUGUGCAGGAUAGGUGGGAGGCUUUGAGUAUAUGACGCCAGUUGUAUAUGAGCCAUUGUUGAGAUACCACUCUUUCUUAUUUGGGUAGCUAACCAGCUUGAGUUAUCCUCAAGUGGGACAAUGUCUGGUGGGUAGUUUGACUGGGGCGGUCGCCUCCCAAAUAAUAACGGAGGCUUACAAAGGUUGGCUCAGAACGGUUGGAAAUCGUUCGUAGAGUAUAAAGGUAUAAGCCAGCUUAACUGCAAGACAUACAAGUCAAGCAGAGACGAAAGUCGGUCUUAGUGAUCCGGUGGUUCUGUGUGGAAGGGCCAUCGCUCAAAGGAUAAAAGGUACCCCGGGGAUAACAGGCUGAUCUCCCCCAAGAGCUCACAUCGACGGGGAGGUUUGGCACCUCGAUGUCGGCUCAUCGCAUCCUGGGGCUGGAGCAGGUCCCAAGGGUAUGGCUGUUCGCCAUUUAAAGCGGUACGCGAGCUGGGUUCAGAACGUCGUGAGACAGUUCGGUCCCUAUCUGCCGUGGGCGUAAGAAGAUUGAAGAGAUUUGACCCUAGUACGAGAGGACCGGGUUGAACAAACCACUGGUGUAGCUGUUGUUCUGCCAAGAGCAUCGCAGCGUAGCUAAGUUUGGAAAGGAUAAACGCUGAAAGCAUCUAAGCGUGAAGCCAACUCUAAGAUGAAUCUUCUCUAAGCUCUCUAGAAGACUACUAGUUUGAUAGGCUGGGUGUGUAAUGGAUGAAAGUCCUUUAGCUGACCAGUACUAAUAGAGCGUUUGGCUUAUCUUUAAUAAAGCAU
RNAcentral lists this ribosomal RNA (1700 nucleotides) under Campylobacter jejuni. Its description in RNAcentral is "partial 23S ribosomal RNA". It matches the Rfam family "Bacterial large subunit ribosomal RNA", at positions 1244 to 2925 of the family's 2925-position model. The record is from RNAcentral. Lineage: Bacteria; Pseudomonadati; Campylobacterota; Epsilonproteobacteria; Campylobacterales; Campylobacteraceae.